CCCUGACCUCGGCUGACCAGCACUCUGAGCUUUACAAUGUAUUGGAAUGUAUAACCUUAUAUGGUUUGUGGGUGGGUAAAAGCCUUGACCGGAUGAGGUAACGUGAGACACUGGCAAACAGCCAUGCGGCUGGAGAGGGACAAAGGAAUAAAGAAGUUUGCAGGAGGAGGAGAGGGAAGUUCGAGGGGAGCUGCUCCUACCAUCAUGAAAAUAUUGCUGGCUCUCUGUGUCAUAAUUUUAUGCUAAACUUCGCCAUUUGUACGGCUGGCUCCGACACUACCCAAGAUUCUUCCACGUUAAGUGAUGUUCAGUUUAAGAUUGACUAGCUACUGAUGAUGCUACUUUGUCAUUUGAGGUGAAACAAAAGACUCAAGACUUUAGCAUAGCUAAAAGAACAUCAGCAGGCAAAAGAACACAAGCUUUCAAGCCAUACAAGAAGUUUGUCUUCAGAUAUGGGAAAUAAAUAAAAAAUCCCAUCUCCUAUAGGACAUCAAAGCUGACACUAUCUCUCAGAAACACAAUUUGGUCCAAAAGAAAGGCAGCAGUUUAACAUUUUUGAUACUACAUUAUCUGCAACCAACAAUGCUAGUACUAGACUGGAGGGUGAAAGAGAAAUCUAACGACAGAAUGAAAUGCUGACCAAAGUGCUCAGUUAUCCCCAAGGACACAUAAAACAGGUAAAUCGUUAAUAUUGGAACAAACAAUAUUGCUCAGCUAAAUUAUGACCGCAAUAGGCUAUAGCAGCCUUCUCAGCUGUUCUAACGCCUUCACUACAUCCACAGUGUGACUUGCACUGGUAUACUUCAUGUUCUAUCUGCUAUUCUCAUUCUCAUUGUUUGCCACUCCAUUGUGCCCAUGGCAACAUGAAUCUAGAUUUAUUCUAACAAUGUAAGAUGAUGAUGACUUGGAACUUGCCCCAUGCUUUACUAAACUAUGGGACUUACUGCCUGCUUUGAUAUUGCAUGAGGAGAAUAUUUUCUUCUUCUUUAAGCUUUUUCAUUGUCCAGCCAUUCUCCAUAGCUACAAACAAGGCUCUUGGAUACCUUUUGCAGCAAUGGGGAUUUCCUUCCCAUAGAAAAUGCAUGUGGCACUCUUUCUAGCAUUGUACCUGGUGGUAGCUUUCAAAGUUAUGUAUUCGAUUCCUAAUCAUAGAAAGUGUGAUGGAACAGCAAGGGAACGGGAAAGGUGACUCGGUAUUUAGCAUAGACCAAUCUUAACAAUUAACUGCGGACAACUUUGAACCAAGGAACUUUGGGACAUAGCUCUAGCUAGGCUGGAAACAGAUAUUUUUUCGCCCCAGAGACUUUUAGACAGUAUGAGACAGGCAUUGUUGCUCACAAUGUGUACAUUCAUCACAAUGUUAUCUUGGAGGAACAGGCUUUACGGACAUUUGUAGUGCUUCAAAAAUCUGUAAACCUGUUCCACCAAAUGGGACAGUGAGAUUAAAAAGAAAAAGAAUGUCUCUCUCUCUCUCUCUCUCUCUCUCUCUCUGUGUGUGUGUGUGUGUGUGUGUGUGUGAGAGAGAGAGAGAGAGAGAGAGAGAGAACAAUAAAGUAUCCAUCAUGGCAUCUACAACUUUAAAAAACACUCUUGCCUGUUUUCAUCCUAAGCAUGCUCCUGUCAAUUGAUGUAUAAAAUCAGAAGAAUUUCCUUUACUCAAGAAAGCAGAUAUACCUAUGAUACAAAAUGAAUAUGAUUGCACAUAAUACUUCUUGUGUACUGAAUAAUGUAGUGCAGCUGUCCAGAAUCAUUUUGAAGAAGUCAUCUAUACUACAACCAGAGACUGGGAACUAACAUACCAUUACCUAAAUUUAAAGGUUUAGGAAAGCAUUAUGAGCAAAGCAGCAAGCCAAUUAAAGUUAUUCCACUUCCUAAUUAGUGAACAUUGUUUGGGGUCUAACAAAACCACAACAAUAGAUUUAGUAUGAUUGUAUGUUGGAUAUGAAUACCACCACAGGAGGUAAAGUAUGUAUCUCAUUUAAGAGAGCAGGGAAGAACAAGAGUGUAAAUUAUGAUGAAGGAGAAAGGGAGUAUUGAGUAAAAUUAGACAAUGGUGACAGGGAAGGGUUAAAAGUUUCUUAAACCAUAUAGUUUUAUAUAUGGUUGCCAGAUGUGAAUUUGCAAAAAUUGAUAGAUGCACUAAUUAUCUUGGCUGUACUUGAGGUAUAUACCAUGUGAACAUUAAAUUAAGCCUUAUGAACAUUUCUGCAGCAGCUCUUUUUUAAAAAAAGAAAGAAAAAGUAAUAAGCAAUAUGUAAAAUAAUAUGCAAAAUCCAGAUAUAUCAAUUCAUGCUUGCAGGGAUUCACAAGGUAGGCAUCCAAGAACAUUGUACUUUACAUUUUCAUAGAAUCUAAAAUGUGUCUUAGAAAAAGAACCAGAAAGGUGGGGGGGGGGAGUCUACAAACUGCAAUCUGAAAGCUCACACUUGCUGACAGCAACGCAGAUUAAUUAAAUGUCGUUCAGAAUUACAUUAGCAUAUGACACCAGCCUAACCUAUUUGUAAAGAAGAUUGCAUUACUGGCUUUUCACUACUGCAGUUGUCCAGCAUGACAUUCUUUCAGAAUACUUUCCAGGGGGCAGCCAUAUUCUGUUGCAGCAGAAACAACAAAAGGUCUUGUGGCCCCUUACAUUAAAGACUCUCAAAUUCUUUAUGGCAGAGGUUUUCAUGUACUGCCUCUAGUCCAUGAGAGAUCAUGCCGUAAUAAAUGUGCUGGCCUUUAAAGUGCUACGCUGGAGUGAACUGGCCCAGGUGAGGUAAACCUUGCCGACCCCUGCUCCAGCACCAUUUAAAGCCCAUCAACUGCACAAUGGAAGUUGUGUGAAGAAGGCUAAUGUUUUCUCCCCCGCCCUCCCUGUUUCACAAUUUUUAGUGAGUUUACCUUUGUUCUAAUCACUCAGCUUAGUGUGUGUGAUAGCCACUAUUACUUCAUUCUGGGACACUUUAGAUGCACUAUCAUGUUGCGUAUCAUUGAAAAUUACAACAACACACACACUUUUUGUCUUUUUAAAACAACCUCACGGUGUUGUAGCUUUACACAUUUCUUUAAUGAAGCACUAAAACCGGCCAUUCUGGAGUUUUUGAUAGCGGUGCAUCAAACCACUCACACAGGGCCCAUAGAUCAGGACAUUUAUAGCAUAAACAUGUGAACAUAGAUAGCAUAAAUAUGUGAACACCGACAGGAAAUUGAAAGAGGAUGAAUUCGUGCCACUGCUACGCAUAUUUGUGUACAUUUAAAAAGUCCCUUAUUAAUAGUUCCCAGAUCUUGGGCAGGAGAAAUUAUGUUAAGGACAUCUUUGUACACUGACAAAAGACAUUUGAAAAUACAGUGGUACCUUGGUUCUCGAACUUAGGUAAUCUGUUCCGGGAGUCCGUUCAACUCCCGUUCGAAAACCAAGGCAUAGCUUCCAAUUGGCUGCAGGAGCUUCCUGCAAUCAAGUGGAAGCUGUGUUGGACGUUCAGCUUCCAAAAAACGUUCACAAACUGGAACACUUACUUCUGGGUUUGCGGCGUUCGGAAGCCAAUUUGUUCAACAACUAAGCCAUUCAAGAACCAAGGUACCACUGUAUUCUUACUUCUCUACCAUUUUAAGACAAAUGAACCAGAUAUUUAGCGCUAUAUGCAGAACUUUUAACUGCUUAGCAGGUAACUGAUAAAGACGUUUAUUUUCAGCACAACCCACUCACUAUUACUGGUUUAUUGCAUAAGAUCAUCUAAACUUUGCCUAGCUUUCUCCUUUCCCUUUUGAAAUUGGCAAUCAUAUUGUCUUAUAGAUUUCCCAGUGUGGCAGAAGCCCUGUGGAUUUGUACUACAAAAGCCUGUGCUAAACACACCACAGUAAACCACAAAAACUAAAACCCACACAGUGCAAACACAUAUUUAACUUAGCUAUUUAAGUACUAUUCAAGAUACACAUAAUUCAGUAAGUGUAAACAUUUUAAAUAUACAAAUUGUUCAGAGAGAAAUACUUUUUCCCAUUAGUUGUGGGACUAAAUGUUUCGAAAUGUGUGCUUACUUUGGAUAACAUAUAUAUGUGUGUGUAUACACACACACACACACACACACACACACGUAUAUAUAUAUUUAAGAUGAUGUCAUGCUUUUUAAAAAGGAAAUAGCACUGAAAAGAUUUUCUGCCUGAGUAGGCGGAAGAGUGAUUAGGGCAGCAGGUUUUCUUGAAAGUAAAUGAAGCAUCAAAUGCAGUGGCUCCAUGCCAGGCUCACAAAAUAUAACUAAUAACUUCCCUUAGAUGCACUAGUCAUCUUUUAUUUAGUGAUGCCUUACUUGAGUUCUGGAAAAUUCAGUUUUCCAAGCAAAUAUAGGGCUGUGCAUACCAAUGAAAUGAGACUUUGUGAUAUGCUAACAAAUAGUACAUUGGAUACAAGUAGGAUGGGAGAAUCUCUCUAAUUUUAGUCCAUGCUUUUAUUUGCAUGCAUUUGCUUAUAAAUCUGUUCCAUCUCAUUUCUGUGUAUAUCUGUUUAAUUAUUAUUAUUUUUUUUGGGGGGGGGGUUAAAUUGCAUGUUAAAUAAGUAUUUUAAUCAGUGCUAUUUUUCUCCACCAGUAGUACCUCCCUUGUUCUCUUAUAAUGGCAAUGGCACGUACCGAAAUUGAGUCUUGGAGAGUUCCAGCUUGGGGAAAAAAUGUUAAUUUCUCCCAAAAUGCACAUGGCUAACUCUGCAGUUCUGUGCAUUUUACUCAGAACUAAGUAACAAUGAGUUCAAUGGCACUUCUUCCCAGGUUAAUAAAUGCAGAAGUACAAACCAACAUGGCAAUCUUACACCCAUUUUCCUGGGAUUAAGCCUUACUUAAUUUAUACAGGGUGAGUCCUUUAAAAGAGGCCCCAUGGAUACAGAGUAGAUACAUGUUCCACGGGGCCUCUUUUAAAAGACUCACCCUGUACAAACUCGGUGACUUUUUUCUAGGAAAAAAGGUGGCCGGUAUUCACCAUGAAGUACCCUUCUUGGCCGACUGGCUGCAGCUGCUGCUGCAUGGGCCGUGCUGUGGACUGGGCUCAGGGCAGGAUGAGUGCCCAUCGAGUGCCCCGAGCGGGGCUCACAGCUGCCAGGUGAUGUGGCCUUCUGCCUCUGCACCAACCACAGAGGCAAGGAAGCCAGAGUCCUCUUGCUGCUGCCCGGCCUGGACGCAGCUGCCACCACAGACCUGACUCACCUGCUGACCGCCUUCCACCAGUCUCGGAGCUGGCUAAGUAGCGAUGGAAGGUUCAGUGGCAGCCUGGCAGCUUCUUGCACCACAGGACGAGAGCAAGGAGGAAGUGCCUCCACCAGGACUGGCAGGGCUGAAUAGCCCGCCACCAUGGGUAUGGAAGAAAAGGUAAACACUCCUAACACGCUCACUUUAGAAGCCAAGAUGGGGAGGGGAGGACCUCCAGAAAAAUAAGUGUCACGGUCCGGUUCACGAGCGAUCAAAGUCCCGGCUGUGGACAUCAGGACCGGGGGCAAGUUGGCGGGGUGGGAGCAGGAACAGGAGUCCAGAAGCCAGGAGUCAGGAAGCCAAGGGUCCGAGGGUCAGGAAGCAAGGAGUCAUGAAAUCAAGGGUCCGAGGAUCAAGAAGCAAGGAGUCAAGCAGCCAAACGCAGCAAGGCAGGGAAUAUGUUGCUGUGGCAAAGAGCCGAAGGGAAAUGCUGACCUUAUAUCCCUUCCCAGCUCUUGCCACCAGGUGCAGUGAGUUACCAAUCAGCCUCACUUGUGCAGCCAUGCCUUGCCUCUUCAGAACAAACUUAGGAAGGCCCCAGUCCUGCAAAGUCCUACUGGUCACAGGGCCUGGCUCCUGCAUGCACUCCUGACAAUAAGCAAUGAUGAGACUUACAGCUAAGUAGAUACAGUGGUACCUCUGGUUUUAAGUACUUAAUUCAUUCCGGAGGUCCGUUCUUAACCUGAAACUGUUCUUAACCUGAAGCACCACUUUAGCUAAUGGGGCCUCCUGCUGUUGCGGCACCGCCACUGCAUGAUUUCUGUUCUCAUCCUGAAGCAAAGUUCUUAACCCGAGGUACUAUUUCUGGGUUAGUGGGGUUUGUAACCUGAAGCAUAUGUAACCUGAAGCCUAUGUAACCCGAGGUACCACUGUGCUGGAAGUGUAUUUUUUAAUCAGAAUACACGGUGUCUAUUUAUUUUUGGGUGGUCUACAGCCAGAACCAGACAGACAAAAAGAACCACACAUACCUUUCCCCCCACGCACCUACUACAGAUGUAGAUGUAUUUAAUGCAUGAACACACACACAUCUGACACUAACACAGCCCUGGCUCUCUUCCCCUCCAAGCUCUCGUAGAGGAGGCACACGAAGAAGGGCCUCAAGUGAUGAUUGCAGGGUCCGGGUCAGUUCAUAAGGCAAGAGGUGGUCCUUGAAGUAUAAUUACAUUAUUUCAGGCCUUAAGUCACACACAUUAUGAGUUAUAUGUGAUCAACACCCCUUUAAAACGGAGCAAGUUUUCACAAAGCCAUUACUCUGGCAGGAUGAAUUUCAUAUAUACCGCACUGAGUUUGUCUUGCAUGCUGGAAGAAGUUAGCUUGGGAGAUUUACAGCCAAAGACUGGGCCUAGCAGUUCACCAUAAACUCAAUUUAUCUCUGAUAUUACUUUAGCAGAUAGUUCUACAAGGUAGGGGGAAAAUAUGCAGUAGGAUUCAUUAAUUCUUUGGCAUAUGUGGCUGGGUACAAAGGAUAUAUAGCUUUGACAUGCACAUUUCAUUGUGAACUGACUUUAUUCCAGGAUUGACAUGAACAUAUAUCUCUAUAUAUGCUAUUGUCAUUUGUGGUGUGUGGAUCCCUCUCUUUCUUUUUACCUUUUAGACUUGUAUACCUAAACAGCAACUUUUAUAUCUAUCCUUGUCCCAUAAACACAUGCACAAGAUUGAGCUGGCUAACCUCUUCUUGGAUAUUCAAAAGAACCACAAAUGCAUGCACUUGACUUUCAGGCUGAAUAGAAUUCCAGUACAUGCAUGCGCAACACAAUCCUAACUGUGUACAAGAGCCCUCAGCACAUGCACUUGUACAGGCAGAAGCCCAAUUCAGAUUCUCAGAUGAAUACAGUAGUACCUCCGGUUGCUACGGUCGGAUCGCGAGGUUUCCACAACUGGAGUGACUGCUUCUGUGCAUGUGCGCACGGCAAAAAUCCAGAAAUAUACUUCCGGGUUUGCCGCUUAUGUAUCCUGAAGUUUACGUAACCUGAGGGAUACGUAAGCGGUGGUACGACUGUAUGUGUAGGUCAGUGGUGGAUCCUACCACCACAGUUCAGGCAUGCCCAUUUGAAAUGUGCUUUACUGUCAGUCUGAACCAGGGUGGAUUUGAUUUAAAUCAAAUCAAUUUAAAUCACAAGUCAGUAAGACAUGAUUUAAAUCUCUCUUUUCUACAGAAAGACUCAUUCUUGCUGGUAUAAUCUUAAUAUUUACAACCAGAUGAAGGUUUCAUUUUUGGAAUAAUAAAUUUUUAGAGUAGUUUUUACAGUUAUAUAAAAAAUCACUGAUUUGGCUAUACUAAUAGAAUUACAUUAUUGUGAUGUUUAAUAAGUUAACUGUUUAUAUUUGGACAACUUUUCUGCUGUACUUUAUUGGAAAGAGAAAAACAAUCAUUUCCUUCAUAACAAUUUAAACAAUUUAUUUAACUAAAAUAAUAACAUUAUAGCAUAUGUAUCCAUGUUUCUUAACUGAUGUGGUUAAACAAACAAACAAACACCUUAGACUGAGUUUUAGCACACAUGAUUUUUUUUUAACAAAUUCUUAUUUCCUGAUGGACUAUAAUGUAACUUAAAUAGAAAACUAUCUUUAGAAAGAUUCCCCCCCCCCAGCAUUUUAUUUUAAAAAUCCAAUUUAAAUAAAAAAAAUCCAAUUUAGAUUAAAAAAUCCAAGUUUUUUUUUUAAAUUAAUAAUUAAUUUUUAUCCACCCUAGUCUGAACCCUGUGUCUGCAGCAGGUUAUUAAACCAGGUUCACAUUACAGAUAUUGCAAGUAUUCCUGAGAAAACAUACCUGCUGUGAUAUUCUUUAUCUAUUGUUAUCAGUAGUCUUUUAACAUUUAAAACCUACUGAUAAUAAGGUUACAUCUGUUCACUAUUUUAAAAUAUUGAAGCACAUGUUUUUUCCUCAAUAGUCCUGAAUUUGAGAAAACAGCCAGAUUUGACAGCAUUUGGCUGUUCUGUACAACCAGCACUGUCACAGCCAGAAUACAUCUUGAGACCUUCUGCAAGAUCCUGCACAAGCUUCUGAGACCUUGUACAACUUUUGGGACAUGGUACUAAACACUUCAACACCUUUUGCAAACUGAAGCAUGCUUCUUUUCUCAUGCAAGAAAUUUUGUGCUAUGUCAGAAAAAGCUGUUCUGCAAAUGGAAGAUGCCAUUCACUUUCAGAAGAAAAUUGGACCCAACACAUUGUCUUUCCUCUGAAAUCUUAACCAGAGUACAACCAAGUCCACUGCGUUUAGUCAAACCUUUUCCCAUUUAAACAUGUAAAGGGACUGCAUUGUUAGACAUCCA
Molecule: non-coding RNA, 8482 nt
Organism: Podarcis lilfordi (Lilford's wall lizard)
Lineage: Eukaryota; Metazoa; Chordata; Lepidosauria; Squamata; Lacertidae
Source: the annotation of a GenBank genome assembly